This 468-nucleotide ribosomal RNA is filed under the name uncultured bacterium. RNAcentral's name for it is "partial 16S ribosomal RNA". It matches the Rfam family "Bacterial small subunit ribosomal RNA", at positions 28 to 507 of the family's 1533-position model. The record is from RNAcentral.
GACGAACGCUGGCGGCGUGCUUAACACAUGCAAGUCGAACGGAAAGGCCCUGCUUUUGUGGGGUGCUCGAGUGGCGAACGGGUGAGUAACACGUGAGUAACCUGCCCUUGACUUUGGGAUAACUUCAGGAAACUGGGGCUAAUACCGGAUAGGAGCUCCUGCUGCAUGGUGGGGGUUGGAAAGUUUCGGCGGUUGGGGAUGGACUCGCGGCUUAUCAGCUUGUUGGUGGGGUAGUGGCUUACCAAGGCUUUGACGGGUAGCCGGCCUGAGAGGGUGACCGGCGACCUUGGGACUGAGAUACGGCCCAGACUCCUACGGGAGGCAGCAGUGGGGAAUAUUGCACAAUGGGCGGAAGCCUGAUGCAGCAACGCCGCGUGCGGGAUGACGGCCUUCGGGUUGUAAACCGCUUUCGCCUGUGACGAAGCGUGAGUGACGGUAAUGAGUAAAGAAGCACCGGCUAACUACGUG